Molecule: unclassified non-coding RNA, 330 nt
Filed under: soil metagenome
Description: partial contains 5.8S ribosomal RNA, internal transcribed spacer 2, and large subunit ribosomal RNA
Rfam family: 5.8S ribosomal RNA (bases 1-120)
Source: RNAcentral
GAUGAAGAACGUAGCGAAAUGCGAUAAGUAAUGUGAAUUGCAGAAUUCAGUGAAUCAUCGAAUCUUUGAACGCACAUUGCGCCCCCUGGUAUUCCGGGGGGCAUGCCUGUUCGAGCGUCAUUUCACCACUCAAGCCUCGCUUGGUAUUGGGCAACGCGGUCCGCCGCGUGCCUCAAAUCGUCCGGCUGGGUCUUCUGUCCCCUAAGCGUUGUGGAAACUAUUCGCUAAAGGGUGUUCGGGAGGCUACGCCGUAAAACAACCCCAUUUCUAAGGUUGACCUCGGAUCAGGUAGGGAUACCCGCUGAACUUAAGCAUAUCAAUAAGCGGAGA